Molecule: ribosomal RNA, 1244 nt
Filed under: metagenome
Description: bacterial LSU rRNA
Rfam family: Bacterial large subunit ribosomal RNA
Source: RNAcentral
UGAGUACGAGACGCUAAGGCGUCGAAGUAGUGGAUGUCAUACUUCCAAGAAAAGCUUGCACUGUCAUAGAUAAAAAACGCCUGUACCAUAACCGACACAGGUGGGUAGGUAGAGUAUACUAAGGGGCGCGAGAUAACUCUCUCUAAGGAACUCGGCAAAAUGACUCCGUAACUUCGGGAGAAGGAGUGCCUUAUUCGUAAGGCUGCAAUAACAAGAUCCAAGCAACUGUUUAUCAAAAACACAGGUCUCCGCUAAGUCGUAAGACGAUGUAUGGGGGCUGACGCCUGCCCAGUGCCAGAAGGUUAAAGAAGUCGGUUAGCAUUAGCGAAGCUGGUAACUGAAGCCCUGGUGAACGGCGGCCGUAACGAUAACGGUCCUAAGGUAGCGAAAUUCCUUGUCGGGUAAGUUCCGACCCGCACGAAAGGCGUAAUGAUUUGGAUACUGUCUCGGAGAGGGGCUCGGUGAAAUAGACUUGUCUGUGAAGAUGCGGACUACCUGCACCAGGACAGAAAGACCCUAUGAAGCUUUACUGUAACUUGAAAUUGAAAUUGGACUUUAUUCGCGCAGUAUAGGUGGGAGGUGUUGAUUAUAAUCUUGCGGGAUUAUUGGAGCCAUCAGUGAGAUACCACUCUUGUAAUGUUAGAUUUCUAACUUUGAAUCAUUAUCUGGUCAAAGAACAGUUUCAGGCGGGCAGUUUGACUGGGGCGGUCGCCUCCUAAAUGGUAACGGAGGCGUACAAAGGUUUCCUCUGAACGGGUAGAAAUCGUAUCUAGAGUGUAAAGGCAUAAGGAAGCUUGACUGUGAGACCUACAAGUCGAGCAGGGACGAAAGUCGGUCUUAGUGAUCUGACGGUACUGAGUGGAAAGGCCGUCACUCAACGGAUAAAAGUUACUCUAGGAUAACAGGCUGAUCCCCCCCAAGAGUUCACAUCGACGGGGAGGUUUGGCACCUCGAUGUCGGCUCAUCGCAUCCUGGGGCGGUAGUACGUCCCAAGGGUUGGGCUGUUCGCCCAUGAAAGCGGUACGCGAGCUGGGUUCAGAACGUCGUGAGACAGUUCGGUCCAUAUCCGGUGUAGGCGUUAGAAUAUUGAGAGGAGCCUUCUUUAGUACGAGAGGACCGAGAAGGACAUACCUCUGGUGUACCAGUUAUCGUGCCAACGGUAAACGCUGGGUAGCUAUGUAUGGAGUGGAUAACCGCUGAAAGCAUCUAAGUGGGAAGCCCACCUCAAGAUAAGUAUUCUCAGC